RNAcentral lists this ribosomal RNA (97 nucleotides) under uncultured bacterium. RNAcentral's name for it is "partial 16S ribosomal RNA". The record is from RNAcentral.
CGGGCUUUGUACUCACCGCCCGUCAACUCAGGAGAGCUGAUAGUACCCAAAGCACUCGCCCUCGGCGAGUACCACGGUAAGAUCAGUAAUCAGGAGU